This 232-nucleotide unclassified non-coding RNA is filed under the name Hevea brasiliensis (rubber tree). Lineage: Eukaryota; Viridiplantae; Streptophyta; Magnoliopsida; Malpighiales; Euphorbiaceae. The record is from RNAcentral.
ACUUGCGUGACACAAAUGGUAAGUUUGAUUCUUCACCGAGAUAGUUCGAUAAUGUAGCUUCUGUGAUGGAUGUUUAACGUGUUCCAGGGUUUGGUAAGGAGUGAGUUCUGAAUAUCAUAGUGUCCUUAAGAGUGUUUUGGUUUAAGAUUAACGUAGAUGGGGGCCAUCUAAGGCUCUUCUGGUCUCGCAUCUGGAGGAGGGUUGAUUCAUGAUAGCAGAUUAGCAGUGGUCG